This 27-nucleotide non-coding RNA is filed under the name Rattus norvegicus (Norway rat). Lineage: Eukaryota; Metazoa; Chordata; Mammalia; Rodentia; Muridae. The record is from RNAcentral.
UGGAGGAAAGACAUAUAUAGUGAACCC